RNAcentral lists this long non-coding RNA (236 nucleotides) under Elaeis guineensis (African oil palm). RNAcentral's name for it is "long non-coding RNA (EGUI_LNC011496)". The record is from RNAcentral. Lineage: Eukaryota; Viridiplantae; Streptophyta; Magnoliopsida; Arecales; Arecaceae.
UAGGAAUAGGAGGAAGACCUCAUCCUAACAUGAGCUAAAAUUGACUGUGUCGAAAAUGGAAGGAGAACCUCAUCCUGACACAAAUGAAGAUCUAAUCGUUUAAGACCGGAUGAGAAAAAAAGCCUCCUCAGCAAUUCUUCUGCACCCCUAUAGCCCCGCUGGGAGUAGAGGAAAAAUCCUCACCCAAACGUACAGAAAAAGAGGAGAGAAAAAGGAAAAGCGAUGAGCAGCACCAG